AAUGAACGCUGGCGGCAUGCCUAACACAUGCAAGUCGAACGAAGGCUUCGGCCUUAGUGGCGCACGGGUGCGUAACGCGUGGGAAUCUGCCCUUGGGUUCGGAAUAACAGUUAGAAAUGUCUGCUAAUACCGGUUGAUGUCGUAAGACCAAAGAUUUAUCGCCCAAGGAUGAGCCCGCGUAGGAUUAGCUAGUUGGUGGGGUAAAGGCCUACCAAGGCGACGAUCCUUAGCUGGUCUGAGAGGAUGAUCAGCCACACUGGGACUGAGACACGGCCCAGACUCCUACGGGAGGCAGCAGUGGGGAAUAUUGGACAAUGGGCGAAAGCCUGAUCCAGCAAUGCCGCGUGAGUGAUGAAGGCCUUAGGGUUGUAAAGCUCUUUUACCCGGGAUGAUAAUGACAGUACCGGGAGAAUAAGCUCCGGCUAACUUCGUG
Molecule: ribosomal RNA, 433 nt
Filed under: uncultured bacterium
Lineage: Bacteria
Description: partial 16S ribosomal RNA
Rfam family: Bacterial small subunit ribosomal RNA
Source: RNAcentral